RNAcentral lists this ribosomal RNA (252 nucleotides) under uncultured bacterium. Its description in RNAcentral is "partial 16S ribosomal RNA". It matches the Rfam family "Bacterial small subunit ribosomal RNA", at positions 525 to 776 of the family's 1533-position model. The record is from RNAcentral.
ACGGAGGGGACUAGCGUUGUUCGGAUUUACUGGGCGUAAAGGGUGCGUAGGCGGCCUGAUAAGUUAGAAGUGAAAGCCUGGGGCUUAACCCCAGAACUGCUUCUAAAACUAUCAGGCUAGAGUAUGGGAGAGGAUAGUGGAAUUCCUAGUGUAGAGGUGAAAUUCUUAGAUAUUAGGAGGAACACCGGUGGCGAAAGCGACUAUCUGGAACAUAACUGACGCUGAGGCACGAAAGCGUGGGGAGCAAACAGG